CAGAAAAUGAAGAAUUGUUAAAGGCUGAAAAUGAAGAGAAAGAGCGCAGGAUGGCUCAAGAAACAGAAAAAUCAAACUCUACUGGAGCAAUCGGCAAUGAUGCGUC
This 106-nucleotide non-coding RNA is filed under the name Aulacoseira subarctica. The record is from RNAcentral. Lineage: Eukaryota; Bacillariophyta; Melosirophyceae; Melosirales; Aulacoseiraceae.